Molecule: ribosomal RNA, 467 nt
Filed under: uncultured bacterium
Lineage: Bacteria
Description: partial 16S ribosomal RNA
Rfam family: Bacterial small subunit ribosomal RNA
Source: RNAcentral
GAUGAACGCUGGCGGCGUGCCUAACACAUGCAAGUCGCGCGAUUUACUUCGGUAAAGAGCGGCGGACGGGUGAGUAACGCGUGGUAACCUGCCCUGUACACACGGAUAACAUACCGAAAGGUAUGCUAAUACGAGAUAAUAUGCUUUUAUCGCAUGGUAGAAGUAUCAAAGCUUUUGCGGUACAGGAUGGACCCGUGUCUGAUUAGCUAGUUGGUAAGGUAACGGAAUACCAAUGCGACGAUCAAUAGCCGACCUGAGAGAGUGAUCGGGCACAGUGGAACUGAGACACGGUCAAAACUGCUACGGGAGGCAGCAUUGGGGAAUAUUGCAAAAUGGGCGAAAGCCUGAGGCCGCAAAACAGCGUGAACGAUGAAGGCCUUCGGGUCGUAAAGCUCUGUCCUCAAGGAAGAUAAUGACGGUACUUGAGGAGGAAGCCCCGGCUAACUACGUGCCAGAAGCUGCGGUAA